RNAcentral lists this ribosomal RNA (253 nucleotides) under uncultured bacterium. RNAcentral describes it as "partial 16S ribosomal RNA". It matches the Rfam family "Bacterial small subunit ribosomal RNA", at positions 524 to 776 of the family's 1533-position model. The record is from RNAcentral.
UACGAAGGGGGCUAGCGUUGCUCGGAAUGACUGGGCGUAAAGGGCGCGUAGGCGGGCGGCUUAGUCAGGCGUGAAAGUCCUGGGCUUAACCUGGGGGCUGCGUUUGAUACGUUCGAGCUAGAGGAUGGAAGAGGCUCGUGGAAUUCCCAGUGUAGAGGUGAAAUUCGUGGAUAUUGGGAAGAACACCGGUGGCGAAGGCGGCGAGCUGGUCCAUUACUGACGCUGAGGCGCGAAAGCGUGGGGAGCAAACAGG